This is a non-coding RNA of Chlorocebus sabaeus (green monkey), 1413 nucleotides long. NCBI's taxonomy places the organism in Eukaryota, Metazoa, Chordata, Mammalia, Primates, Cercopithecidae. The record is from RefSeq and is a predicted model, not a curated record.
GGAAUGAAUCUUACUUGUUGAAUACCUUCUGGUUACUAGUUGGAUUCAUUUGUAAAAGAAUCAUUUUCCCCUGUGUGGAAGACACUUAGUGGCAUAUUUAAAUUAUAAGUCCACGGAUCAAAAAGCUUUUUGAUUUCCCAAAGGAGGGACAUACCACUAUAUCAGAUAAGCUUGACAUGACAGCCAAGAUGGUGCUGUCCCAGAGACAACGAGAUGAACUCAAUCGAGCUAUAGCAGAUUAUCUUCGUCCAAAUGGCUAUGAAGAGGCAUAUUCAGUUUUUAAAAAGGAAGCUGAAUUAGAUAUGAAUGAAGAAUUAAAGUAGGCUGGAGUUUUGGGAAAAAAAUGGACAUCUGUUAUUAGAUAACGAAAGAAGGUUAUGGAAUUAGAAUCAAAGUUAAAUUAAGCAAAAGAAGGAUUUAUGUCAGGUGGACCUCUUGGUCAGCAACAAGACCCAAAAGAAUGGGUAUUUUCUGCCAGAAAAAUAUGCAUUGAGUGGUGACAGGAGUCCAGUCACUGGAGUCACUUUCCAUCCUGUGUUCGAUGUUAUGGUCUCUGCUUCAGAGGAUGCUACAAUUAACGUGUGGGAUUAUGAGACUGGAGAUUUUGAACGAACUCUUGAAGGACAUACGGACUCUGUACGGGAUAUUUCAUUCGACCACAGUGGCAAGCUUCUGGCUUCCUGUUCUGCAGCUAUGACCAUUAAACUCUGGGAUUUUCGGGACUUUGAAUGCAUCAGAACCAUGCACAGCCAAGACCACAAUGUUUCCUCAGUAGCCAUCAUGGCCAGGGGAGAUCAUACAGUGUCUGCCUCAAGGGAUGAAGCUAUAAAAAUGUGGGAAGGGCAAACUGGCUACCGUGUGAAGACGUUCACAGGACACAGAGAAUGGGUACGUAUGGUACAACCAAAUCAAGAUGGCACUCUGAUAGGCAGCUGUUCCAAUGAGCAGACUGUGUGUGUGGGUCAUAGCAACAAAGCAAUGCAAGGCUGAGCUCCGAGAACAUGAGCAUGUGGUAGAAUGCAUUUCCUGGGCUCCAGAAAGCUCAUAUUCUUCCAUCUCUGAAGCAGCAGCCUCUGAGACUAAAAGAAAAAGUGGCAAACCUGGGCCAUUCUUGCUCUCUGGAUCCAGAGACAAGACUAUGAAGACAUGGGAUUCAGUACUGGCAUGUGCCUUAUGACCCUCGUGGUUCAUGAUAACUGGGUACGUCGAGUUCUGUUCAAUUCCAGGGGAAAGUUUAUUUUGAGUUGUGCUGAUGACAAGACCCUACGCCCAUGGGAUCACAAGAACAAGCAAUGCAUGAAGACCCUCAGUACGCAUGAACACUUUGUUACCUCCUUGGAUUUCCAGAAGACAGCACCCUAUGUGGUCACUGGCCGCGUAGAUCAAACAGUAAAAGCGUGGGAGUGCCAUUGA